CUUCUGAAAAGCAAACUUAGAAGCCGGUGU
This 30-nucleotide non-coding RNA is filed under the name Homo sapiens (human). The record is from RNAcentral. Lineage: Eukaryota; Metazoa; Chordata; Mammalia; Primates; Hominidae.